GAUGAAGAACGUAGCGAAAUGCGAUAAGUAGUGUGAAUUGCAGUAUUCAGUGAAUCAUCGAAUCUUUGAACGCACAUUGCGCCCUUUGGUAUUCCAAAGGGCAUGCCUGUUCGAGCGUCAUUUGUACCCUCAAGCUUUGCUUGGUGUUGGGCGUCUUGUCUCUAGCUUUGCUGGAGACUCGCCUUAAAGUAAUUGGCAGCCGGCCUACUGGUUUCGGAGCGCAGCACAAGUCGCACUCUCUAUCAGCAAAGGUCUAGCAUCCAUUAAGCCUUUUUUUCAACUUUUGACCUCGGAUCAGGUAGGGAUACCCGCUGAACUUAAGCAUAUCAAUAAGCGGAGGA
Molecule: unclassified non-coding RNA, 341 nt
Filed under: soil metagenome
Description: partial contains 5.8S ribosomal RNA, internal transcribed spacer 2, and large subunit ribosomal RNA
Rfam family: 5.8S ribosomal RNA (bases 1-120)
Source: RNAcentral